RNAcentral lists this transfer RNA (72 nucleotides) under Megaviridae environmental sample. RNAcentral's name for it is "tRNA-Met". It matches the Rfam family "tRNA". Rfam says of the family: Transfer RNA (tRNA) molecules are approximately 80 nucleotides in length. Their secondary structure includes four short double-helical elements and three loops (D, anti-codon, and T loops). The record is from RNAcentral. Lineage: Varidnaviria; Bamfordvirae; Nucleocytoviricota; Megaviricetes; Imitervirales; Mimiviridae.
AGCAAAUUAGCGCAGGGGAAGCGUGCUGGGCCCAUAACCCAGAGGUCGUUGGAUCGAAACCAACAUUUGCUA